RNAcentral lists this long non-coding RNA (201 nucleotides) under Glycine max (soybean). Its description in RNAcentral is "long non-coding RNA (GMAX_LNC003537)". The record is from RNAcentral. Lineage: Eukaryota; Viridiplantae; Streptophyta; Magnoliopsida; Fabales; Fabaceae.
UACGAGUUAUCUUUAAAAAAGGGGUUGAAGUUAAUGAACAAAAACCAAAAUAAAUCAAACUCAUAAACUUCUUCACUUCAUCAAAAAAUCAAGAGAUCAUUUCAAGGUCCAACGCCUUAAUGAUUCUCCCCUCUCAUUAAAAAUCAAGAGGUCGUUCAAGGUCCAUCACCUUAAUGAUUCUCUCCGAUUUUCAAACGUUGU